UUACAUGGUCGAUAAAGGGUUUUGUAAGGGUUUUUUUUUUAUAUAUAUACGCAGUCAGCUUAAACAAAAAUUCGAAAAAAAUAACUGGCGAUUUGUAGGCUAUUCAGUACCCUUGUUUGAAGUUAUUUCUGCGCUACGUAGCUGCUGCUCUGUAGCUCCCGGUCUGAAAAAAUUCGAUGGACCCCCAGGUCGUCCAUCCGCAUUUUUCAGACCGGGAGCUACAGUCCUGCAGAUAUAGGCUCUACGGUGCCCUUUACAUCAUAUUUCUGCACCGGAAGUGCAAUUUACAUAAUUAUAAAAUGUAAAUUGCUUUUUCCUCUGAAAUGUCAAGUCUGUCAAAUAACAAAAGACUUCAGGGAUUUAAGUCUUAUUAGUAUUAUUGCAAAAAAAAAAAUCAUUUGAAACAUACCAACAGUCAUUUCUUUUUUACACCAUUUUUUAUUAAAGCAAUUUCAUUUGUCUAGUUUUGAUAGAUGUUUGUGACAUUUGCAAUCAAACGUAUAUAUGUACGUAUAUCCGGAGGAAAGAGAACACAUCGACAAAUUGCUGUCGUUUCAAGACAAAAUUGCUUCCUCCUUGUUGAUUUGACAUUUCUUUCUGAGAUGCAAUAUUGAGUUUCACUUGCUAAACGUCACAAGUUAUCAAAAUGUGUUUCUUGUGUUAAGGAAGUAGAUUAUAUUUCUCUCAAGACUUUUAGCUUUUAUUUGAAAUAAUUUCCGCUAUUUUCCAACGAAAAGGGACAAAAAUUAUGGGUAUCGUACUUUAAGCAACACAGAGCAUAAAAAAUGGAGUAUUUUGAUCAAAACAUUUUUCAUACGAUGCAAAUGACUUUUUGUCACACAAUAUCAAUCUUUUCCCAGUGGUUUACAAAGCCUAAGUCAUUGUUCCCAGCAUAAUCCAUUUUGAAUCGCACGCAUGAAAGGAAAAAAACAAUUAUAGCAGCGUGGAAAAAGUAGUGAUAACUUUGCUCCCUAUAUUAUAUUUUCGUUUUGUUCGAUCGAUAAUUGUAUAAAAAAGGAGUGAUUGUGCUUUACCAGGUUUGUAUUUAUGUUGCGAGAGUGUGGCGCGCGCUGACUUGGGGGCUCCUCCGAUGACUGACCACUACAUUGGGUUUUUGAUGGUGAAGUGACAACGCGUGUAUCCAGCCUCUCCGCCACGUCAAGAUCAAUAGGUUCAGAUCAUUUACAUAGCUACUAGUAGGAUCGACGCAGGAACUGGCAUGAAACUCACUUCUAGGAAUUAGAAAUAGGAAAUUGGCGUGUAAUACUAUACACGCCUUGUGUACAUCACGGUAACAAUUGUACAACCGCAGGUGUGUCUGGGUACUUAUACUGAUUUUUUCUUUAAUCUAGUGUUCAUAAGAUACUCUGUGAAACAUGCAAUACAUCAACUUUUAAAUCUUGAUGUCGACAUCCGUGAGACAGUAUCAUGUCAUAAUACUGUCAUACUUGUUGACUCACCUUUCUGCUAGAACCUGAGAAUUACCAAAGUGCUACAAAGACGACGUAAGAAAUUUUUCUACAGGUGAGAAUGGACAGGGACGAAUUGAAGAGACAGGUGGAGACCCUACGCUACCACAAGAGUCUAGAGAGAAUACCAGUAUCCGAAGCCAUCAAACGGUUGAUCGAGUUCAUAGAUGAGAAGAUGCCCGAGGAUGGACUGGUUGUUACACCCGACAAGAAGAAGAAUCCGUGGGCCGAGAACAGAAAGUGCGCCAUUCUGUAAAGACUGAAUCACACACACGGACAAUGUUUUAUAGGCAGCUGUGCGUUGACAAUUCUGCGAAAUUAGCUGUCCAUAUAGGGCCUUUUUAUGGGGUUUUUUUGUUUACCUAGUAGUGGCUGUUGUAUUAUUACAAUGUAUUUUCUAGAUCGAAAAAUUUUGGACCCAUCUCUUUAUUAUUACAAACAAACUAUGUGUAUUAUAUAUAUCUGAAGAUACACGAAUGCAUAACACUGUUGAAAGACAAAGGUUUCAAAUAAAUUCUUCUAGACUUCUUC
Magallana angulata is the source of this 2000-nucleotide long non-coding RNA. RefSeq lists it as uncharacterized. The record is from RefSeq and is a predicted model, not a curated record. Lineage: Eukaryota; Metazoa; Mollusca; Bivalvia; Ostreida; Ostreidae. The transcript has 2 exons.